CCCUGCCAAGCCUCACCCAACCCCGGGUGAGGAGUACGAAAAACUCUAGGAGCCCCUAUCCUACAACCAUGAUACUAGACCUCCAGACAUUCCAAUCAAGGGUCAUGUCCUCAGAAACACGAAUCCUAGCCAUGUCAUGUCUAAUCACCUCUCCCUAAUACUUCUUAGGCCUCCCUCUGCCUCGCCGAACGCCGACAAUCGCCAACCGCUCACAACUCCUCACCGGGG
This 228-nucleotide long non-coding RNA is filed under the name Nicotiana benthamiana. RNAcentral's name for it is "long non-coding RNA (NBEN_LNC003443)". Lineage: Eukaryota; Viridiplantae; Streptophyta; Magnoliopsida; Solanales; Solanaceae. The record is from RNAcentral.